Molecule: long non-coding RNA, 209 nt
Filed under: Mytilus galloprovincialis (Mediterranean mussel)
Lineage: Eukaryota; Metazoa; Mollusca; Bivalvia; Mytilida; Mytilidae
Source: RNAcentral
UUGGUUAUCGUUAAAAUCGCCUGUGGCCAUUAUGUAAUUAAUAGUAUUAUCAUUAGACGCCAUAUCAAGAGAAUAUUCAUUUUUUCCCAGAUAUCUGAUCCACUAUUAUGAGGUAUAUAAAAGGUUCCGAGCAAAGCCUUUUUAUCUUUAAAUUUAAAUUCUAACCAUAUUGCUUCCAAGCUUUCGCUUUCGAGGUCAAUUCGACGUUG